RNAcentral lists this ribosomal RNA (371 nucleotides) under uncultured bacterium. RNAcentral describes it as "bacterial SSU rRNA". It matches the Rfam family "Bacterial small subunit ribosomal RNA", at positions 29 to 424 of the family's 1533-position model. The record is from RNAcentral.
AACGAACGCUGGCGGCAGGCCUAACACAUGCAAGUCGAACGCCCUGGCGACAGGGAGUGGCAGACGGGUGAGUAACGCGUGGGAACGUGCCUUUCGGUUCGGAAUAACCCAGGGAAACUUGGGACUAAUACCGGAUACGUGCGAGAGCAGAAAGAUUUAUCGCCGAAAGAUCGGCCCGCGUCCGAUUAGCUAGUUGGUGAGGUAAAGGCUCACCAAGGCGACGAUCGGUAGCUGGUCUGAGAGGAUGAUCAGCCACACUGGGACUGAGACACGGCCCAGACUCCUACGGGAGGCAGCAGGUGGGGAAUAUUGGACAAGUGGGCGCAAGCCUGAUCCAGCCAUGCCGCGUGAGUGAUGAAGGCCCUAGGGUU